CAAUAGCGUAUAUUAAAGUUGUUGCAGUUAAAAAGCUCGUAGUUGGACCUUGGACCUGGACAGGCGGUCCGCCUCACGGCGAGUACUGUCUUGCUGGGUCUUUCCUCUUGGUGAUCUGUUGUUUCGGCAGCAGGGAACCAGGACCUUUACUUUGAAAAAAUUAGAGUGUUCAAAGCAAGCCUACGCUCUGAAUAUAUUAGCAUGGAAUAACAUGAUAGGACUCUGGCUUAUCUUGUUGGUCUGUGAGACCAGAGUAAUGAUUAAGAGGGACAGUCGGGGACAUUCGUAUUUCAUUGUCAGAGGUGAAAUUCUUGGAUUUAUGAAAGACGAACUUCUGCGAANGNAUUUGUNAAGGAUGUUUNCAUUA
Molecule: ribosomal RNA, 367 nt
Filed under: uncultured eukaryote
Lineage: Eukaryota
Description: partial 18S ribosomal RNA
Rfam family: Eukaryotic small subunit ribosomal RNA
Source: RNAcentral